UACGUAGGGUGCGAGCGUUAAUCGGAAUUACUGGGCGUAAAGCGUGCGCAGGCGGCUUUGCAAGACAGAUGUGAAAUCCCCGGGCUCAACCUGGGAACUGCAUUUGUGACUGCAAGGCUAGAGUACGGCAGAGGGGGAUGGAAUUCCGCGUGUAGCAGUGAAAUGCGUAGAUAUGCGGAGGAACACCAAUGGCGAAGGCAAUCCCCAGGGCCUGUACUGACGCUCAAGCACGAAAGCGUGGGGAGCAAACAGG
This 253-nucleotide ribosomal RNA is filed under the name uncultured bacterium. RNAcentral describes it as "partial 16S ribosomal RNA". It matches the Rfam family "Bacterial small subunit ribosomal RNA", at positions 524 to 776 of the family's 1533-position model. The record is from RNAcentral.